GUGCUUGCAUCAGCAGCACACAUACCGUAACUGGGAUGAUACAGAGAAGAUUAGCAUGGCCCCUCUGCUGCGAUGACAUGUUUCAUAAAAUGUUGCCUGUUUCCUAAAUUUUU
Small nuclear RNA from Dipodomys ordii (Ord's kangaroo rat), 113 nucleotides. The record is from Ensembl. NCBI's taxonomy places the organism in Eukaryota, Metazoa, Chordata, Mammalia, Rodentia, Heteromyidae.